AGUUCCACCGCGAUCGCCAGCAUCGACACUGGAACACCCGGGCGAGCUCCGUAGCGAUCAGUUUUCAGGUUCCAGGGCAGCAGGGACGAGCUCGUGACGUCUCGGGCAAGCCUUCCGUUGCUGGCGGUACACUAGCGGUUACCGGAUUGCGUCAAGACUCGAAGGUGAUGCGAUGAACGCACACCCUGUGUUGGGCCCGUGGGAUUGAGUCCACUGGGAGCUGGAAGGCUUUGAAUGGGAGCCUCAAGGUUCCCGGGGUAUUGGAAGCCCGCCAGCGAACUACCCUGCGGGUGCACCGGUGCCCAUGGGCGGCUCCAAGCUUCCCUGGAUGCAGGGACACGGCAGCGUGCAUUGCUGUUGUUGAGCCUGGCUCGAGAGACUCGGGCGGGUAUGCACGCUUGAACGUAGCCAAGGCGACAUUGGGAUUUUCGUACCUUCGAGCUGCGGCAACUCUUUGAAGAUUUACGUUAUGUAAACUGCACUAAUGCCAGAAUAAACUGGAACUGGUGGUCUCAUUCAGGAGUACACCCUAGCGUACGAGUCGCUUUCCGUUGUUAAGAAAACUAGUCUCUACGGGCUUUGAAGGCGACUGCUUCAUGCUCCUCCUACUUAUCUCCGGCCUGAAAUACGCCAGUUUAUGCUGUCCGUCCAUCGAUGUUGAUGGCAUCGUUAAAGUCACGAUUUUGCUUCCUCUAGACACUGUUCACGCAUAUCAUGGACAGGUGGAAGUUGCGAUCGACGAUUCGCUUACCGUGCUCAUCAGCUUCGUUUGCAAUCUCGCUGCGCGCUUCGCAGCGUUGACACUGAACGGGGUUUUGAGGUUCCCAUUAGUCUAUGGCAUGUUCUGGCCCGAGUGGCGCCCUGUGGCACGUAGACUAAUGGGAACCGUCUUGGACACACGCUGUCCUAGUACAGCAGGCUACCCGCCAUGAACUCCUCGGUUCGCGCGCCCGUUGCCGAACCCUACGAUCACGGCGUCUUCUGGGCGGUCUUCUCAGCGAGUACUCUGUCUGCUGCGCGAGGACGCAAAUGCUGUCGUGCUCUUCGAUAGGGGAUUUCUGGAACGCGAUGUUCUUUAUGGUUGAACAAGAACCGGGAGGAGAAUCCAGGUUCAGAACAAUUCGAGAAAUUACAAUCUGUCUGCGCUUCCGUUGUGCAAAGCAGUGACGUAUUUUCGAUUCCACACGGUCGCUGCGAUGACACGAGUCCGACUCCAAAACCCUUUGCGAUGGGAGCGGUAGAGACGGCACCCGCUGGUAGCACAUCCGGUGUGCAGGAACGUGCUGGUGACGAAUCCCGCGUAGUCGAUGUUCACUGAGAGGGAGGGUUUUGUGUUUCGGACAGAUUUGACUAUUAUUCGGCGUGAAAUGUUCAGUGUACAAGUCUGCUCGAGCAAGUGCGUCGAGAUUCUUUUAUCUUCAAUGCAAGGACGCCAAUCGAUGCGCCUAUGAGGUGCCUUGAAACAGAACUAGUGAAAACUCGUAGAAUGCGUGAUUUGAGCGUGCUAUAAGUUCGGAAUGGCAGGAUUCAGAGGCUCGAACGCGUGAACCGGAUAAUGAAAGUGGCUAUUUUAGGAACCGUUAUUGGAGAACGUUGCGAAUUAUCUUGAUUUCGGUGAUGUAACACAUGCCAGCUACAAAGCGGCGACGUAGCCACUCCAAAGAAACGACUGAGAAUCCUCAUGCAAUACGUGAAUCGAUUCGCUUUUCCGCUUGCACUGCAAAUGUUUGGCGUGUGUGCAGUUCGCAAAGCUCUGAACUAUCGAUAUACUGCAGCUGGGCGAGCAGUCCAGUGUUCUAUUUUAAUUUGGCUGAAUCUGAACGGCAACAAAGUGUCGGCAUGGAGGUUGCCCCAGCUCUCUGCGACGCCUAUUCGGAUGUUGGAACAACGUCCUAGAUUCGUGAUUCGCCCCAAGGGUCGCUUGAUUGCGUUUACACUUCACGGACGAACUCGGAAACAGCGAUAGAGAUCGUCAACGACCUGCUACCCGGAAGCCUUCUGGCGAGUUCACUGCCUUGACUAUACCUGCAACAACUGGCAGCGAGCGCUACACAGUUCGAUACUCGGAUCCUGUACUGUACAAGGGCUUCAUUUUGUUGGGUGCACGCAUGCACUGCAGCCAACACUCAGAGGCUGUUGGUAUGGAUCAAGUCACACGUUUCGGGCACCAGUGCGCUGUGCUGGUGGUGCGUUCGACGCGGGUUUCGUCGAAGCCCCCGAAACCCCACGGAGCUGACCGCUGGCUUCGUGUCCUCUCCUGGUCUGUGGACGCUUCGACAUUGCAACAGCGCAGAAAACGGUUGCCGAAUGCGGUUCUUUGGCGCUUAUCCCGUCUUUGGAAAGAGACAACGAGCGUACCGACUUGAGCCCGGAAAGCACGCGUGUCUCGACUUGUGCAUGAGUAUCCAGAUCUUACGCAAAAAGACCUAUUCUGUUCUGGUUUACAAUUUUGGGAUUAGGCGUUGUCGUAGACGAGCGCUCACUCUGAGACGUAACCGGGUUUCGUUCAGUUGAAGAAGCGACCCGGGUGGGUCAGGAGCGCACCUGGUUCCGUCUGCCGCUGCGUACGAGGGUGCAAAACGCUUUUUUACAAGCAUUCGUGUGAGAGCUGCUAUUCUAGCCGCUGAUCAUCUUGAGUAUGAACGACGCCAGCGCAGAGGAAAGUUGCACGCGGCUAUCGCCGAUCCACUUGGAAGCCUGGAUCAAGAAGAACAGAGACCUGUUGCGACCGCCGGUGGGCAACGUCGUCCUGGCAGAUGGUGGAUUUCUCGUAAUGCUCGUCGGUGGUCCCAACGUCCGAACCGACUACCAUAUUGAGAACUAUGAAGAAAUCUUUUACCAGAUUGAGGGCGAUAUUUCAUUAAAAAUCGUUGACGAAC
Cyanidioschyzon merolae strain 10D is the source of this 2879-nucleotide RNA transcript. RefSeq lists it as hypothetical. The transcript has a single exon. NCBI's taxonomy places the organism in Eukaryota, Rhodophyta, Bangiophyceae, Cyanidiales, Cyanidiaceae. The record is from RefSeq and is a predicted model, not a curated record.